Molecule: ribosomal RNA, 77 nt
Filed under: Basidiobolus magnus
Lineage: Eukaryota; Fungi; Basidiobolomycota; Basidiobolomycetes; Basidiobolales; Basidiobolaceae
Description: partial 28S ribosomal RNA
Source: RNAcentral
UUGGAUGCGGGCGCAAGCCCAACUCUUAAUUCUUGAUCUCAAAUCAGGUAGGAUUACCCGCUGAACUUAAGCAUAUC